CAAUUGUCCUAAUAGCCACCAUGGAAUGGAUGGAUGCUAACAACAGGCUCGGAGUUCUCCAUCUGUUGCCUCCUUUUAUCCACAUGAGAAUCAAACAAGACUACUGAUUAAAUGAAGCCUUUGAUGAAGUGCAUGCAGUUUGUAGCUUGAUUCAUGGGAAUACUCAUCACAGACUGAAAGUGUAACCCAGGGUCUCUGGGUUUUGGGGAAUGCACUGUGUAAAAGUAUCUACUUGUAACUGUUACACCCUGAGUUGUUGUUGUUUUAGAAAGUUCCAAGAAGAAGCUUAGCCUUGGAAAAAACAAAAACUGGUUGAAUCCAGAAGUGGAGAUGAAUUUUUGCCGACUCUCCUCGCUGCCACACUAAAAACCCUGCUCAGAGAGGAGCUUAUUCACCAUUUUCUGUUCAUGCAAUGUGUGUGGAAGCAUGAUCUACAACAGCAUGCGUGCUGCCUUCACCCUACCUCUACAUACAAUGACUCAGUUAACCUGCUGAAUAAAAGCCCUGUUUUCACCUUUGCUGGGGGAGGUGCUGCUUUGGGAACAAUUCGCAGUGUCCACUUCACUUUUUGCAAGUAAUAGAAUACCCUUAUUAAAUGCU
RNAcentral lists this long non-coding RNA (600 nucleotides) under Pongo abelii (Sumatran orangutan). RNAcentral describes it as "lincRNA". Lineage: Eukaryota; Metazoa; Chordata; Mammalia; Primates; Hominidae. The record is from RNAcentral.